RNAcentral lists this non-coding RNA (603 nucleotides) under Pongo abelii (Sumatran orangutan). Lineage: Eukaryota; Metazoa; Chordata; Mammalia; Primates; Hominidae. The record is from RNAcentral.
CCGACGCGCGAGGCCUCGGGAGGAGCGUCUCCGUGGUAACUCUGCUCCAGUCGCAAGACCUGGAAGUGGCCCCAGGGGGUCGCCCUUACUGUCCGUCGUGGAUGAAGGGGACCACUUGGCUUCAGAAAUCCCCGCUGGCCUCCGCCUCCCCUGGGGUUUCCCUUUCGGCGCAGGCUGGGCAGCGGCGUCAUCACAGCCAUCGCCACCCCAGUAAUCACAGCGAGCGGCCCUUUGCGCACGCGUGAGCCUCUUCAGGCCUCAGUACUUCUCACUUCGCCCGGCAAGGCUGGCCAGGAGGGGAGCAUUCUCGCUUUCCGCCUAUUUCAAGACCCCUCCCCUUCUGCAUGCUCGGUGUCCCAGUCUGUCUCCCCGCUGCCUGGGACUGAAGCAAAGUCCGCCCCGAAGCCGACCGUUCUUUGAAGCUGAAAUCCUCAAAAAGCCUGCGGACUGAAUAGCGCUGUACUAGGCACGCUCAUUGCGCUUCCAGCCGCCCUUGGAUGCUGCGUGCUGGGCCUGGUCGGGUUGGGGCCUUCCUACAUACUCUUGGGACCAUUAGGCUCUUCUUGGGUGAGUUGCAAGUUAAAAUUACCAGGGCUCUGUGAA